RNAcentral lists this ribosomal RNA (775 nucleotides) under uncultured Neocallimastigales. Its description in RNAcentral is "partial large subunit ribosomal RNA". It matches the Rfam family "Eukaryotic large subunit ribosomal RNA", at positions 23 to 634 of the family's 3401-position model. Lineage: Eukaryota; Fungi; Neocallimastigomycota; Neocallimastigomycetes; Neocallimastigales. The record is from RNAcentral.
AGAGAGAGACAUGCGCGCAUAUCAAUAAGCGGAGGAAAAGAAACUAACAAGGAUUCCCUUAGUAACGGCGAGUGAAGCGGGAAGAGCUCAAAUUUGAAAUCUUCAAGGUUCUACCUUGACGAAUUGUAGUUUAAAGAAGUGUUUUCUGCUGAAGUUUUGGUAAAAGUUCUUUGGAAUAGGACAUCAUAGAGGGUGAGAAUCCCGUAUUUGACCAUUAUUUUCAGCUUUGUGAUACACUUUCAAAGAGUCGGAUUGUUUGGGAAUGCAGUCCAAAAUGGGUGGUAAAUUUCAUCUAAAGCUAAAUAUUGGCGAGAGACCGAUAGCGAACAAGUACCGUGAGGGAAAGAUGAAAAGAACUUUGAAAAGAGAGUUAAACAGUACAUGAAAUUGUCAAAAGGGAAGCGUUUGACACCAGUGUUGUUUUCUCGAAAAUCAAUUAAAAAUGGCUCGAUUUUGUAUUGUUGAGACCUUAAAAGCUCACUGUACAUUUUUCGUGUCUUUUUUAAUGCACUUUUCGUUUAACAAGUCAACAUCAGUUUCUUUUGUUGUAAAAGGGUCAUUGGAAGGUGGCUUUCUUUUCGGAGAAAGUGUUUAUAGCCUUUGGCCUCUGCAAUCGGAGAGACUGAGGUCUGCAGCGUAGACUCUUCGGGGCUAGAUACAUUUGUGCUAAGUUAUAGCCUUUUCAUAGACAACUUGUUGACUAUAAUCAGUCAUGUAGCUUACUCGCUUAUGCUAUUUUACCUACGCUUAGGAUGUUGAAGAUGUAGCACAUCAU